GUGUAUAAAUGUACCGAUUGUGAAGAGAGAGUGAUGUAAUCGUACAUUACAUGCUAGUUGGUAAAUUUUUAUUUUGACGAGUGGGAGGUUUGUAGUUCGAGCCGAAGGCAAGGG
Bradysia coprophila is the source of this 114-nucleotide long non-coding RNA. The record is from RefSeq and is a predicted model, not a curated record. Lineage: Eukaryota; Metazoa; Arthropoda; Insecta; Diptera; Sciaridae.